RNAcentral lists this ribosomal RNA (375 nucleotides) under uncultured bacterium. RNAcentral describes it as "bacterial SSU rRNA". It matches the Rfam family "Bacterial small subunit ribosomal RNA", at positions 524 to 898 of the family's 1533-position model. The record is from RNAcentral.
UACGUAGGUGGCAAGCGUUGUCCGGAUUUACUGGGCGUAAAGGGAGCGUAGGUGGAUAUUUAAGUGGGAUGUGAAAUACCCGGGCUUAACCUGGGUGCUGCAUUCCAAACUGGAUAUCUAGAGUGCAGGAGAGGAAAGGAGAAUUCCAGGUGUAGCGGUGAAAUGCGUAGAGAUCUGGAGGAAUACCGGUGGCGAAGGCGGCCCCCUGGACAAAGACUGACGCUCAGGUGCGAAAGCGUGGGGAGCAAACAGGAUUAGAUACCCUGGUAGUCCACGCUGUAAACGAUGAAUACUAGGUGUAGGGGUUGUCAUGACCUCUGUGCCGCCGCUAACGCAUUAAGUAUUCCGCCUGGGGAGUACGGUCGCAAGAUUAAA